This is a long non-coding RNA of Brassica oleracea var. oleracea, 641 nucleotides long. RefSeq lists it as uncharacterized. The record is from RefSeq and is a predicted model, not a curated record. The transcript has 3 exons. Lineage: Eukaryota; Viridiplantae; Streptophyta; Magnoliopsida; Brassicales; Brassicaceae.
UCCUCCUCUCAUCUGUCGAUCUCCAUCUUCUCUUUCUCCCUUCCGUAGAUCUGUUCUUCUCUUUUCUCGUAUAAUUUCUGUAUCUCUUCUCCUCUGUUUUUUUUUCUCUCAAGAAUCAUAAGUUUUCUUCUCCGAUCCAUCAUCCUCUUUCAGAAUCGUGCCGAGUCGAAGGAACCAGGCCAUUUCGUAAAUGGCGAAUCCAGAGCAUGAAGAUGGGAUAUGUUUACAAGAGGCAAAGACUUGUCGGAGUGCCGGAGGAAGGCAUAGAGGCGUCGGCGGAUACGCACCGGAGUGAUGUCAGAAGGAGGACGGAGACGUGACCUGAGCCGUUCCAGAUAACCACAAUGGAAAGUGGAGGAUGCAGCAGAAGCUUAACGUUGGAGGAGGCAAGGCGUGGUCUCCGCAGCGAUGGUGCAAGGCGUGGUCUCCGCAGCGGUGGUUCAAGGUGGUCUGGUGGCAGUCACAGUUGUGGUGGUGCGGCGGAGAGAACAUGACCUUUAGGGUUGAUGGCGAGGAAGACAAUUUUUUUAGGUUUAGGGUGUUUAGAUUUGGUUUAGAAAUGCAAACCGAUUUUCAUUUGUAAACAGAUAUUUAUUUGUAAACCGAUUUCAAUUUAUAUAUUAUUAUGUCGAAGAUUUUAA